This 499-nucleotide ribosomal RNA is filed under the name Tigrigobius macrodon (tiger goby). Its description in RNAcentral is "partial 12S ribosomal RNA". It matches the Rfam family "Bacterial small subunit ribosomal RNA", at positions 794 to 1533 of the family's 1533-position model. Lineage: Eukaryota; Metazoa; Chordata; Actinopteri; Gobiiformes; Gobiidae. The record is from RNAcentral.
GCCUAGCCGUAAAUAUAGGCAGCCCCGUACCUCGCUGCUCGCCAGGGGACUACAAGCCCCAGCUUAAAACCCAAAGGACUUGGCGGUGCUUUAGACCCCCCUAGAGGAGCCUGUUCCAGAAUCGAUGCCCCCCGAUCUACCUCACCCUCCCUUGUUCUUUCCGCCUAUAUACCGCCGUCGUCAGCUUACCCUGUGAAGGCUAAACAGUAAGCGCAAUUGGCAUGCCCCAAAACGUCAGGUCAAGGUGUAGCUAAUGGGAGGGAGGCAAUGGGCUACAUUUACUGUCUCAGUAAAUACGGAUUUUGCCCUGAAAAAGCAUCUGAAGGAGGAUUUAGCAGUAAGGCGGGAGUAGAGUGCCCCCCUGAAGACGGCCCUGAAGCGCGCACACACCGCCCGUCACUCUCCCCAACGGUCAACCUACCAUAAUUAAUAUGAGCCCACCACAAAGGGGAGGCAAGUCGUAACAUGGUAAGCGUACCGGAAGGUGCGCUUGGAAAAA